UCUCAGUCAAAUGUUUUGAAGUGGAAAUGAUAUUGUUUUUCCCCAAAUACUGCCUGGGUUUGUAAUGCUAAAUGUUAUAUCAUUGCAUUUGUUGGAACACUACAAGCACAAAUACUUCUGUUUAUUAGAAUUCGGAAUGAUUUGCUACAAGUUAAGUGAAAGAUGAGAUUGGAGUUUCACUGCCAUUCUAAACUAUUUGCUUCAGAACGUUUAAUAGAAUGAGCUUGGUCCUCAAAUCAUGGAGACGAAAAAGGGCAACUAAUUUCGUGUUAACUACAAUAUAUGAACCCAAAAAUGAGAUGAACUCUUACAAAGGACGCCAGAUAAACACCAUGGAAUUUCACUUAGUCAUGAAGCGAGAAUAAAUUGACCUUUCUUCGGCCAUCUUGGAAAUUCUCUGGUCCCUUGAAGUGAAUCUAAAGCUAUCUGGACUGCCGAGAUUCGAAGGUUUGUUUGGGAGAAAUUGGAUUUAUAUGAAUUAUCCCACGCAAGUUUUACAAAUAUUGUAUGCAACUGAUAAUGAGCUCGUGUUCAGAUUCAACGUCUAAUAUCCUCGACGCUCUAUGUAUAAAGAGUUUGAUCUAUAAAAAUUAAUCGAAAGAAUACGAGCUAAAAUCGCUAUAAACAAUUGUGUCGCUAUAUGGGAACUUCAAUUGCUAUUUUAAACUAAUUAAUAUUAAAAUUCCUUCAUGCAUUUUUAUACCAUUUUUAGGAUUUAAAUGAAACAGACCUCCAUGAAAAUCCUUUACUUGAGGUUACGCAUGGAAGUGCAGCUUGUUUUACUCGAAUCUAGUCUUUAAACUUCGGUUUCUAUGAAUUGCGGGCAUGCAUUUCUUGUGUUUAAUUAUAUUAAAUUUUAAAAUAACAUUAAAAACAACCGAAGAGGUCAGAUUUGGCAUCAAGAUGCGAAAUUUUGUCUAGAUUUAGCGUGACCUUAUUUUAAAAUCGAGGUAAUAAUUAGCGGUAGGAGUAAUAGUUACGCUUCAGAGAGAAUUUUAAACAAUUAAGCGAUCUUAAAUUCUUCAGAAGGGCUCAAUCUCUCAAAUUAAGUAAAACAAAUUUUUAUUCGCUUCAAAACAUUCUUGUCUCAAUUUCAAAUCAUUAGAAUGUAAAAUACUGAAUUGGUCAGUUCAAGUUAAAACAUAAAUAUACAUACCAUGUUUUCGAGAAUGGUAAGAAUCGCGUAGAAUUUUUCUAUGGCAUCUUUUAAAUACCCAAAAAUUUUAAUUCGAUUAGUUACACUUUCGGGUUAUUUUAGGUUAAUGCACUUUCCACUCGUCUCGAAUCCAAUAAUCUUGGGAAGGUUAUCCUAAUCUCGUUCUCGAGCUAAAUUGAAAUUUCAAAAAUCCUUUUAAAUUCAGGAAAUGUUUGGACAGAUUCCUUUAAAUUUUCUACCAAGGUUCGUGUAAUUACGACAUAAAACGGUAAAUCAUGGCAAUAAUCUGUUUUAGACGUUUAACGGUACCCACAUGAUAAUCUUCGAACUAAAUUUUAAUUAUCAUUAGUUUCCAAAACGCUCAUUCGCUAAAGUUGAACAGAAUGCAAGAAAUAUUCGUAUUUUAGUUAACGUAAAUGUUUAAUUAUAGACAGUUGCAGAUGCCAAUGUUACGGGUAGAAAUUGCACAUUUCAGGUUCUCUGAGGAAGAUUAAAGCUUUGGGAAGUGGUAGAUGGGAUACAUUAACACGUCAAGUAACAACCCGGUCCCUGUUGACUUUCCGUUUAGGCAUCGUGGGACCGACGGCCUAAACGGAAAGUGUCGGUCCCCUGGGAUCCGGCACUGGACGUGUUAAUGGGGAGGGGAAGCUUCUAGUUUGGGGAUGGUUAUCAAAACUGAGCUUGUGGGUUAUAAAAUGGUUAAGAACAUUUAUUGCAGUACAAUAGCUAGUCUAAGGAGUGGGGGGGGCGGUUCAGAAAGGUUUGGAACCUGUAAAUUGCAAUUUGUACCACGAACAUUGGUAGUGACUGUUCGGACUCUGGGGAAGGUCCAUUUAUAAGACUACUGAAAUUAUUACUGCAGGGAAAAUCCUCUUACCCCAAUUCUUAAGUGCUUCUCAUUUGCUAUAAAUAAGAGAUGCAUAGUUGUAAUAUUCGAGGAGACAAGAUUCGCAAUCGACUGCAAGUUUUGCAUAAUCCAUGAACUCGUGAAAUCCUUGUACAAGGCGAAUGACUGCAAUUUAAUCUAUAGGCAGUGCUGUAGUUUUAUCGAUAGGUUCCUCUUCUAAAAUUAAGAGAUUUAAAUGAAUACCCCACUGAGGGAUAAGUUUAUUAAAAUGUUAAUAUAAGGAAUUCUGAUUAAUCUAAAAGGAAAAAGCUAGAACCUAUACACAGCAUUUUGAUAUUUCGUAUCGGUAACAGGCAAUCUAGCUAAAAAUCAUUACUUCUCUCCCGAAAAAUUGAGUACUUCCCCUCCCGAUGAUUUAUAAGUAAUUUUGCGCUGAUUACUGUAAUUCUGAAUUAGUUAAAGCAGUUUUUAGCUUGGUUAUCCCUUGAGGGAAGGCUCGUUCUAGAGCAGGGAUUGGCAAAAGUUAGCCAUACAAAUGCUUCUUAGUAUACAUGUAAAUUUUUUGGAAAAUGUAAAACGCAAAAGGCUUAGAGAAAAUUAUAGGAAGAGAGAUUGAGUCUUUCAAACUAUGGAUUCCACUUCUAAUUGGCUGAAUUGAUUGGCAUUGUAAAAGCUGCUUCAUUUGAAUCUAUUCUUAAAUGUUAAGUUUUUAAUUUUUGUCGUACGAUUUAUUGGUCACUUUAAAUCAAUCUUUUAUUCUUAAAUUCCUAGUUUCUUUAAAUUCUAAAUGUCAUUUUUCUUUUCAGAAUUUGCUUUUGUACUUCAUAUUCUUGCAUACUGAUAUCAUUAUCCAUAAGUUAAUUUUUAAAUUAAAAAUCUUGAUAUAAUUUUACGAUUCAAGUUUUCUUUGAAUUUGAAGUUCCCUUACGAUUGUGAUAUUUCUGCACUUUCUCUUGCUUUUAGAUUUGUAAACUUUAAAUAUUGCUUUUUUGUACCGUUCUAAAUUAAAGCUGUUAAUCUUCAAGGACUACGCUUUUGAACCAGAUGUUGUGCCGCCAUUGCAAGUAAUCUUUUUUGGAAUUUGUACUAAAGUAUUGCGAGUAAUGCAUGCUUGAAUAUAUUUAAUUAAAAUGUUUUGUGUAUUAAUUGUAGGAUAAAUUGUGUAUUCAAGGUUGGACGGUGUAUAUUUGACAGGAUCCGUGUAAACAGUUGAAAAUAAAUAUUCCCGUAAUAUGUAUACCCUUCAGUAAUUUAAUAUUCACCAUGUAAUCCGUAAUAUUAUGAAAUCCAAAUUCCUUAGCAAGAAAAAUAACAUCGCUGAAUAAUGCAAUUAAUAUCCUUAAGGCUGCGAGCGCAAUGCGGGAAAUACUCGUAAUAUUCUAAUCAAAUAUUUAGAAUAUUGACAUGUAAUUCUUGUAUUCCAUUAGAUUCAUGUUUUCAAUAUCUCCGUUGAAUCUUCUUAAAUUAGAUCAAGUUAAUCCACGUCAAAGUUGAUAAUUGUGAGAUACAGACUGUAAAUAUCUCCAAGCUGGA
Long non-coding RNA from Argiope bruennichi, 3536 nucleotides. RefSeq lists it as uncharacterized. The transcript has 3 exons. The record is from RefSeq and is a predicted model, not a curated record. Lineage: Eukaryota; Metazoa; Arthropoda; Arachnida; Araneae; Araneidae.